GUCGAACGGAUCCUUCGGGAUUNGUGGCAGACGGGUGAGUAACGCGUGGGAAGCUACCUUGUGGUAGGGGACAACAGUUGGAAACGACUGCUAAUACCCUAUGAGCCCUAUGGGGGAAAGAUUUAUCGCCAUGAGAUGUGCCCGCGUUAGAUUAGCUAGUUGGUAAGGUAAUGGCUUACCAAGGCGACGAUCUAUAGCUGGUCUGAGAGGAUGAUCAGCCACACUGGGACUGAGACACGGCCCAGACUCCUACGGGAGGCAGCAGUGGGGAAUAUUGGACAAUGGGGGCAACCCUGAUCCAGCCAUGCCGCGUGUGUGAUGACGGCCUUAGGGUUGUAAAGCACUUUCAGCAGUGAAGAUAAUGACAUUAACUGCAGAAGAAGCCCCGGCUAACUUCGUGCCAGCAGCCGCGGUAAUACGAAGGGGGCUAGCGUUGUUCGGAAUCACUGGGCGUAAAGAGUACGUAGGCGGACUGAUAAGUUAGGGGUGAAAUCCCAAGGCUCAACCUUGGAACUGCCUUUGAUACUGUCAGUCUUGA
Molecule: ribosomal RNA, 538 nt
Filed under: bacterium 23E3
Lineage: Bacteria
Description: bacterial SSU rRNA
Rfam family: Bacterial small subunit ribosomal RNA
Source: RNAcentral